GGAUGUGAGGGCGAUCUGACUGUGACAUCUGUUACCCCGUUGUUCACCAGGGUUGAUUUGGCUGAUCUGACUGGCUAGGCGGGUAUCCCCUUCCUCCCUCACCACUCCAUGUGUAUCUGUCGCAAACCUGCGUGCUCAGUCAAAGAGGAUGACCAUCCCCGAUAGAGGAGGACUGGUCUUCAGUCAAGGGUAUACGAGUAGCUGCACUCCCCUGCUAGAAACUCCAAACAAGCUCUCAAAAAAAAAAAAAAAAAGGCAUGACAUGGUAUCACUGUUUGUUCAUGUGCUCUUCCAGUUUAGGCUGAAUCUCAU
Molecule: small nuclear RNA, 312 nt
Filed under: Pan paniscus (pygmy chimpanzee)
Lineage: Eukaryota; Metazoa; Chordata; Mammalia; Primates; Hominidae
Description: 7SK RNA (ENSPPAG00000009857.1)
Rfam family: 7SK RNA
About the family: 7SK was discovered as an abundant small nuclear RNA in the mid-70s but a possible function has only recently been suggested. Two independent studies have found that 7SK RNA binds the CDK9/cyclin T complex (known as elongation factor P-TEFb). P-TEFb activates transcription by phosphorylating the C-terminal domain of RNA polymerase II.
Source: RNAcentral